AGACCCGAAACCCGGUGAUCUAGCCAUGGGCAGGUUGAAGGUUGGGUAACACUAACUGGAGGACCGAACCGACUAAUGUUGAAAAAUUAGCGGAUGACCUGUGGCUGGGGGUGAAAGGCCAAUCAAACCGGGAGAUAGCUGGUUCUCCCCGAAAGCUAUUUAGGUAGCGCCUCGUGAAUUCAUCUCCGGGGGUAGAGCACUGUUUCGGCUAGGGGGCCAUCCCGGCUUACCAACCCGAUGCAAACUGCGAAUACCGGAGAAUGUUAUCACGGGAGACACACGGCGGGUGCUAACGUCCGUCGUGAAGAGGGAAACAACCCAGACCGCCAGCUAAGGUCCCAAAGUCAUGGUUAAGUGGGAAACGAUGUGGGAAGGCCCAGACAGCCAGGAUGUUGGCUUAGAAGCAGCCAUCAUUUAAAGAAAGCGUAAUAGCUCACUGGUCGAGUCGGCCUGCGCGGAAGAUGUAACGGGGCUAAACCAUGCACCGAAGCUGCGGCAGCGAACGUAUCACCCAAGACAACUUUACGGAGUUGACGAUUGACGGAGCGAAGCGACGUCAAAGCGUUCAUUAAAGUCGAGUUGGCUUAGGGAUACGUUCGUUGGGUAGGGGAGCGUUCUGUAAGCCUGUGAAGGUGUGUCGUGAGGCAUGCUGGAGGUAUCAGAAGUGCGAAUGCUGACAUAAGUAACGAUAAAGCGGGUGAAAAGCCCGCUCGCCGGAAGACCAAGGGUUCCUGUCCAACGUUAAUCGGGGCAGGGUGAGUCGACCCCUAAGGCGAGGCCGAAAGGCGUAGUCGAUGGGAAACGGGUUAAUAUUCCCGUACUUGGUGUUACUGCGAAGGGGGGACGGAGAAGGCUAUGUUGGCCGGGCGACGGUUGUCCCGGUUUAAGCGUGUAGGUGUGUGUUCCAGGUAAA
This 913-nucleotide ribosomal RNA is filed under the name Salmonella enterica. Its description in RNAcentral is "partial 23S ribosomal RNA". It matches the Rfam family "Bacterial large subunit ribosomal RNA", at positions 711 to 1540 of the family's 2925-position model. The record is from RNAcentral. Lineage: Bacteria; Pseudomonadati; Pseudomonadota; Gammaproteobacteria; Enterobacterales; Enterobacteriaceae. RNAcentral also lists the same sequence under 1 other name.